CAGUCGCCACGGUAAAACGGAGGGUGCGAGCGUUAAUCGGAAUUACUGGGCGUAAAGCGUACGCAGGCGGUUUGUUAAGUCAGAUGUGAAAUCCCCGAGCUUAACUUGGGAACUGCAUUUGAAACUGGCAAGCUAGAGUCUUGUAGAGGGGGGUAGAAUUCCAGGUGUAGCGGUGAAAUGCGUAGAGAUCUGGAGGAACACCGGUGGCGAAAGCGGCUCUCUGGUCUGUAACUGACGCUGAGGCUCGAAAGCGUGGGGAGCGAACAGGAUUAGAUACCCGCGUAGUCCCUGUCUCUUAUAC
This 301-nucleotide ribosomal RNA is filed under the name uncultured bacterium. Its description in RNAcentral is "partial 16S ribosomal RNA". It matches the Rfam family "Bacterial small subunit ribosomal RNA", at positions 509 to 807 of the family's 1533-position model. The record is from RNAcentral.